This 253-nucleotide ribosomal RNA is filed under the name uncultured bacterium. RNAcentral describes it as "partial 16S ribosomal RNA". It matches the Rfam family "Bacterial small subunit ribosomal RNA", at positions 524 to 776 of the family's 1533-position model. The record is from RNAcentral.
UACGAGGGGUGCGAGCGUUGCUCGGAAUUAUUGGGCGUAAAGGGUAGGUAGGUGGUCUUAUUUGUCUGGGGUGAAAGCCUUGAGCUUAACUCAAGAAGUGCCCCAGAAACGGUAAGACUAGAGUCUUGGAGAGGGUCGUGGAAUUCCCGGUGUAGCGGUGAAAUGCGUAGAGCUCGGGAAGAACAUCGGUGGCGAAAGCGCUCUGCUGGACUGCAACUGACACUCAGGGACGAAAGCUAGGGGAGCGAAUGGG